AGAGCAGGAAAAGUGGUCGCUCCGUAAAGGCAACCGUCUUUUCGGAGAGGAAAGUCCGAGCUCAGCAGGGCAUGGUGGUCGUUAACAGCGACUGGGGGCGACCCCAAGGAAAGUGCCACAGAAAGGGAAACCGUCUACCCGCCUGUUGCGGAAGUUCAGAGUUUAACUCUGAACUUCGGGGCUUAGACCCCGGUGGAUAAGGGUGAAAAGGUGAGGUAAGAGCUCACCAGCCGGGAUGACGACAUUCCGGGCUUGGAAAACCCCACCAUGAGCAAGGUCGAAUAGGUUCCGCCUUGAGAGGGGCCCCUUCGAAUCUCCCGUCCUACAUGUGAGGGCUGGAGUGGCGGGACGGGUAAAGACCGCACGAGUCUGCUGGCAACAGCAGAUCUUAGAUGAAUGACCACAGAUACAGAACUCGGCUUAUACGCCUGCUCUGACU
Molecule: RNase P RNA, 439 nt
Filed under: Thermodesulfovibrionales bacterium
Lineage: Bacteria; Pseudomonadati; Nitrospirota; Thermodesulfovibrionia; Thermodesulfovibrionales
Description: RNase P RNA component class A
Rfam family: Bacterial RNase P class A
About the family: Ribonuclease P (RNase P) is a ubiquitous endoribonuclease, found in archaea, bacteria and eukarya as well as chloroplasts and mitochondria. Its best characterised activity is the generation of mature 5'-ends of tRNAs by cleaving the 5'-leader elements of precursor-tRNAs.
Source: RNAcentral